This 252-nucleotide ribosomal RNA is filed under the name uncultured microorganism. RNAcentral's name for it is "partial small subunit ribosomal RNA". It matches the Rfam family "Bacterial small subunit ribosomal RNA", at positions 524 to 776 of the family's 1533-position model. The record is from RNAcentral.
UACGUAGGUGGCAAGCGUUGUCCGGAAUUAUUGGGCGUAAAGAGCAUGUAGGCGGGCUUUUAAGUCUGACGUGAAAAUGCGGGGCUUAACCCCGUAUGGCGUUGGAUACUGGAAGUCUUGAGUGCAGGAGAGGAAAGGGGAAUUCCCAGUGUAGCGGUGAAAUGCGUAGAUAUUGGGAGGAACACCAGUGGCGAAGGCGCCUUUCUGGACUGUGUCUGACACUGAGGCUCGAAAGCAUGGGUAGCGAACAGG